This 481-nucleotide ribosomal RNA is filed under the name uncultured bacterium. Its description in RNAcentral is "partial 16S ribosomal RNA". It matches the Rfam family "Bacterial small subunit ribosomal RNA", at positions 28 to 507 of the family's 1533-position model. The record is from RNAcentral.
GAUGAACGCUGGCGGCGUGCUUAACACAUGCAAGUCGAACGAAGCAUUUAGGACAGAUUACUUCGGUUUGAAGUUCUUUAUGACUGAGUGGCGGACGGGUGAGUAACGCGUGGGUAACCUGCCUUGUACUGGGGGAUAGCAGCUGGAAACGGCUGGUAAUACCGCAUAAGCGCACAAUGUUGCAUGACAUGGUGUGAAAAACUCCGGUGGUAUAAGAUGGACCCGCGUCUGAUUAGCUAGUUGGUGAGAUAACGGCCCACCAAGGCGACGAUCAGUAGCCGACCUGAGAGGGCGACCGGCCACAUUGGGACUGAGACACGGCCCAGACUCCUACGGGAGGCAGCAGUGGGGAAUAUUGCACAAUGGAGGAAACUCUGAUGCAGCGACGCCGCGUGAGUGAAGAAGUAAUUCGUUAUGUAAAGCUCUAUCAGCAGGGAAGAUAGUGACGGUACCUGACUAAGAAGCUCCGGCUAAAUACGUG